CUUGGACCUUCCACUAAGCUUAUAAUGAUUCAUUACACCAGUGGAAUCACGCUGAUUGGACAGGAUAAGCAAGAGAAUAAUCCUACUCUAGUCUACACAGCAAGUAACAAGGAAGACAGCUGACUUUGGAUGAGGACCGGGCUGGGGAGAAGCCUUUCAGAAGACUCAGGUUGUGGUGCAAGUAGCCCUGCUGCUUGGGCCACACAGUUCAGCAGGUUCUUCAGUGUUGACUUAUCUAUGGUGGGAAGAUAUGCACUGUGGAGCUGAUAGCAAACCCCAGCUAGAGCAUCACAACAGAAACCCUCUGGAUUUGAGAACAAAGCCAUCCAUCUGCACCAGAAAAUUAUAUGCCUGUUAAGAAACAGGCCUGGUAGAGACAGAAUGUUUGACUAUGCUGCUCUAAGUCACAAUGUGCACAAAAAAGCCCGUUUUGAGUUGGGUUUUAUAAGACUUGGCAAAUCAUAAAUUUGAUGAAGCCCAGUAACUGACCAUUAUAAAAUGGAAAAGAUGCAUCUGGAUUGAGCCUCUGUAGGACAAGUGGGCACGAGUAAGCUAUAUGACCAGAUAUACCAGACCUUCCUGUCAUCUGCCAGGGUUGCAUCAGUGCCCUUCUCCAAAUUUGUGCUUUUGGCUGUAUUGGAAAGGAAGAGGUCCCAUUCAAUCAGCUGAAGGAGUAGGAAAAAAUCUGAAAUUGGUUUAUGGGUUGUCAAUAUCAGAAUAUGAGUGCAAGAUGAAAACUGGCAUCAGCUGUACUUUGGCCCCAUUUCAGCACAGCCUUGAAUGACAGUAAAGAGGAAAAAUAAUCAAUAUUUCAGAGCUGCAAUCAAUGCAUUUGUUUAUCCACUUUAUGUGAAAAGAGAAGUCACCUGCUGUAAUAAUAUAUAUGGAAGUCUGGACAAGAGUAAAGUGGUUGAAUAUAUAGGAAUGGGCACAAGGAGUGAAGACUUUUGUAUUAUAGGUUUAUGCCCACCAGAGAAGAGGCACUGAGCAACUAAGUAGACAAAAUUACGGAAAAGACAGUUGGUGAUAACCAGUCUUUGUCGUCAGCCUCUCUUAAACUGGUGGAGUAGGCAGAGGAAAAUAGUGCGACAGUGACACAGAGGGAUACUAUAUAUGGGACCAACAGUAUUAACUACCAUUUAUCAAUGUUAAUCUAGCUACUGAUGCCUUUGAAUGUCCAGCAAAGACCAAUGCUAAGCCCCCAAUAUAGCACUAUUCCUCAAGGAGAUCAAUGGCCUCUUGAUGGCAAGUUGACUAUUUCAGCUUCUUUUCAUCCUAGAAGGGCUUGUGGUUUGUCUUCAGACAUAUGGAUACCUCUUCCAGAUAAGUAUUUGCCCUUCUUUUCAGGAAAGUCUCAGUCAGAAGUACUCUCCAGGGGCUUGUGGAAUGCCUCAUAUACUUCCAUUGUAUGGAAUCCCAUCUAAUAUAGAAUCUGAUCAAGUGAUCCACUUCAUAGCAAAGAAUGUGUGGGAGUGGACCAAUGCCCAUAGUGUCAAUUGGUCAUAUCACAUAUUGCACCAUCCAGAAGCAGCCAGCCUAACUUAAUACAGGAAGAACAUUCUAAAGGUACAGUUGAAGUUCAAAAUUGAAAGGACUGUUCUAAAGACAUUUAUAUGGUACUUUAUCUUAAAAAGCAAUUAUGUAUGGAUUGAGAAACCAAGGGGUGGAAACAAGGCAGGCCCUGCUUACCAUCAUCCCAGUCGCCUCUUGAGAGAUUUUGUGCUUCCUAUUCCCACAAUCAUAGGCCUUAGAAGGAGUGGAGAUCCUGGUCUCCAAAGAGGACACACUCUUACAACAGAAUAUUGCAAAGAUCUCUUUGGACUCUAUGUCCAGAGACUAGCGGAUGAGAAGAGAAAUCAUCAUCAUGGCUUCCUUAACACAACAAGGGCAAGAAGGAACACGUGUGGAACCCAGGUGAUCCAUUUUGGCACUUCCUGUACUCAUUGACCCAUUGUAUCUGUAAAUGGACAGAGACAACAACCUUAGUUUGAAAAGGGCAUGAUGACCAAGGGCUCAGACAUCACAAAUGAAUGUUUGGGUACAGCACUAGGCAAAUUACCGAGAUCUCCCAAGGAGAUGUCUGAGGAUGAGAAGAAUUUUGAAUAGAUAGUGUAGGAGGAAAAGGAUAAAUAUCAGCUGUGACCCAGAGAUCAGAUGCAGCAAAAGAGGCUAUAGUUUGUUCUGCUAGCCCCUUCUUCUAAAUUUCUUUUCAGGAAGAGACGUCAAGGAAAUCAUGGAGCGGCUGCAUAAAUCUACAUGAAGUAGAUCUGUGCAACAAAAGGCAUGGACUAUGGUGGCCAAUAAAAAGCCCCAGCAGCCACCUUUUGGGAGCUGUAAUCACAUUCUUACCAAGGCAACACUUCCCUUGGCCUACUUCCAGUGAAUGAUGACUGAGCAUGGCAACAGGACAAAGGCAGGAUAAUUCCUACAAGAUGUGAAAUUCUUCCAAUGGGUGAUUUUGACUUGAGGCUUCCUCCCUAUUUUGGCCAAAAUGUUCAUAGAACUAUGUUAUAAUCUGAGCUUCUUCUCUACUUUUUCUUAUCUCACUCUCCUUCACAAAAGUCAGAACUGCAUCACAGACUGAAGGCUCUCUCCAGCCUCACUAGCUUGUUCCUCUUUAACUUUUAAAAGCAUUU
This is a long non-coding RNA of Equus caballus (horse), 2636 nucleotides long. Lineage: Eukaryota; Metazoa; Chordata; Mammalia; Perissodactyla; Equidae. The record is from Ensembl.